Small nuclear RNA from Sorex fumeus (smoky shrew), 105 nucleotides. NCBI's taxonomy places the organism in Eukaryota, Metazoa, Chordata, Mammalia, Eulipotyphla, Soricidae. The record is from RefSeq and is a predicted model, not a curated record.
GUUCUUCUUUCAGCAGCACAUAUAACUAAAAUUUAAAAAUACAAAGAUGAUUACCAUAGCCCCUAUACAAGUAUGACACAGAUUCAUGAAGUGUUCCAUUAAUAA